AAAUUGAAGAGUUUGAUCAUGGCUCAGAUUGAACGCUGGCGGCAGGCCUAACACAUGCAAGUCGGACGGUAGCACAGAGGAGCUUGCUCCUCGGGUGACGAGUGGCGGACGGGUGAGUAAUGUCUGGGGAUCUGCCCGAUAGAGGGGGAUAACCACUGGAAACGGUGGCUAAUACCGCAUAACGUCGCAAGACCAAAGAGGGGGACCUUCGGGCCUCUCACUAUCGGAUGAACCCAGAUGGGAUUAGCUAGUAGGCGGGGUAACGGCCCACCUAGGCGACGAUCCCUAGCUGGUCUGAGAGGAUGACCAGCCACACUGGAACUGAGACACGGUCCAGACUCCUACGGGAGGCAGCAGUGGGGAAUAUUGCACAAUGGGCGCAAGCCUGAUGCAGCCAUGCCGCGUGUAUGAAGAAGGCCUUCGGGUUGUAAAGUACUUUCAGCGGGGAGGAAGGCAGUGAGGUUAAUAACCUUACUGAUUGACGUUACCCGCAGAAGAAGCACCGGCUAACUCCGUGCCAGCAGCCGCGGUAAUACGGAGGGUGCAAGCGUUAAUCGGAAUUACUGGGCGUAAAGCGCACGCAGGCGGUCUGUUAAGUCAGAUGUGAAAUCCCCGGGCUUAACCUGGGAACUGCAUUUGAAAC
This 643-nucleotide ribosomal RNA is filed under the name Pantoea ananatis. RNAcentral describes it as "bacterial SSU rRNA". It matches the Rfam family "Bacterial small subunit ribosomal RNA", at positions 1 to 633 of the family's 1533-position model. Lineage: Bacteria; Pseudomonadati; Pseudomonadota; Gammaproteobacteria; Enterobacterales; Erwiniaceae. The record is from RNAcentral.